Molecule: ribosomal RNA, 434 nt
Filed under: uncultured bacterium
Lineage: Bacteria
Description: bacterial SSU rRNA
Rfam family: Bacterial small subunit ribosomal RNA
Source: RNAcentral
AACGAACGCUGGCGGCAGGCCUAACACAUGCAAGUCGAGCGAGACCUUCGGGGUCUAGCGGCGGACGGGUGAGUAACGCGUGGGAACGUGCCCUUCUCUACGGAAUAGUCCCGGGAAACUGGGUUUAAUACCGUAUACGCCCUUCGGGGGAAAGAUUUAUCGGAGAAGGAUCGGCCCGCGUUAGAUUAGAUAGUUGGUGGGGUAACGGCCUACCAAGUCUACGAUCUAUAGCUGGUUUUAGAGGAUGAUCAGCAACACUGGGACUGAGACACGGCCCAGACUCCUACGGGAGGCAGCAGUGGGGAAUCUUAGACAAUGGGGGCAACCCUGAUCUAGCCAUGCCGCGUGAGUGAUGAAGGCCUUAGGGUCGUAAAGCUCUUUCGCCUGUGAUGAUAAUGACAGUAGCAGGUAAAGAAACCCCGGCUAACUCCGUG